This 301-nucleotide ribosomal RNA is filed under the name uncultured bacterium. Its description in RNAcentral is "partial 16S ribosomal RNA". It matches the Rfam family "Bacterial small subunit ribosomal RNA", at positions 509 to 807 of the family's 1533-position model. The record is from RNAcentral.
CAGCAGCCACGGUAAUACGUAGGGUGCGAGCGUUAAUCGGAAUUACUGGGCGUAAAGCGUGCGCAGGCGGUUGUGUAAGACAGGUGUGAAAUCCCCGGGCUUAACCUGGGAACUGCGCUUGUGACUGCACAGCUAGAGUAUGGCAGAGGGGGGUGAAAUUCCACGUGUAGCAGUGAAAUGCGUAGAGAUGUGGAGGAACACCGAUGGCGAAGGCAGCCCCCUGGGCCAAUACUGACGCUCGUGCACGAAAGCGUGGGGAGCAAACAGGAUUAGAUACCCCUGUAGUCCCUGUCUCUUAUAC